Vigna radiata var. radiata (mung bean) is the source of this 1772-nucleotide RNA transcript. It is a transcript of the gene named protein ABHD17B, with no coding region annotated. NCBI's taxonomy places the organism in Eukaryota, Viridiplantae, Streptophyta, Magnoliopsida, Fabales, Fabaceae. The transcript has 7 exons. The record is from RefSeq and is a predicted model, not a curated record.
UGUUUGUCUCUCCAACCAAACACUCCCUAGCUCAUCACAUGAAUAUAAUCACCUCCAUUCACUCCAGAACCUUCCAUUGUUUCAGUCUUUCAAAAUUAGCCUAACAUUUAAUCUUCAAUUUUACUUUCUUAUUUUUAAAAUAUUCUCUUUAUUUAUUUUUUCUGUGUUUCGAUGGGAGCUGUGACCUCCUCCAUGGCGGCCAAGUUUGCGUUCUUUCCGCCGGAUCCGCCGUCGUACACUGUGGCGGAGGAGGCAGAUGGGAAGGCGAAGAUGGUGGAAGUGGCAACGAGGGAAAACGUUGACGUUUUGAAGGUGCGGACGGAGAGAGGGAACAGUGUUGUGGCGAUGUAUAUUAAGAACCCGACGGCUUCGUUGACUUUGCUUUACUCGCACGGUAACGCCGCUGAUCUGGGUCAGAUGUACGAGUUGUUCAGCGAGCUGAGUCUUCACCUCCGAGUUAACCUCAUGGGUUAUGACUAUUCUGGAUAUGGACAGUCAUCUGGGAAGCCUAGUGAGCAGAACACUUAUGCAGAUAUAGAAGCUGUUUAUAAGUGCCUGCAGGAGAAGUAUGGGGCAAAGGAAGAAGAUAUUGUUCUUUAUGGGCAAUCUGUUGGUAGUGGACCAACUAUAGAUUUGGCUUCUCGUUUACCAAACCUUAGGGCUGUGAUUCUCCACAGUCCAAUCUUAUCAGGCCUUCGUGUCAUGUAUCCUGUGAAACGCACAUACUGGUUUGACAUUUAUAAGAACAUCGAUAAAAUUCCCUUGGUGAAUUGUCCCGUUCUUGUGAUUCACGGAACAGCUGAUGAUGUAGUGGAUUGCUCCCAUGGGAAACAACUUUGGGAAAAUUGUAAACAGAAGUAUGAGCCCCUGUGGAUUAAAGGAGGAAAUCACUGUGAUUUGGAACUUUACCCUCAAUAUAUAAAGCACCUCAAGAAAUUCGUUACUGUCAUCGAGAAGUCACUACAUCAAAAAACAGGAUCUGGUCAUAUUCCUGAUCCACAGGACAAACCUAGGAACAGCAUAGAUUUUCGGGAGAAAUCCAGACCGAGCAUGGAUCUUAGGGAGAAUUUGAGGAGUAUUGAUCAAAAAGAAAAGCCUGGUGCAAGCACAGUCACAGACCAUAAAGAGAAGUCAAGAGCCAGCAUAGACAGGAGAGAUAAAUCAAGAAAGAGUAUAGAUCGCCCUGAGAAGGCAUAUCAUGGAGCAGAUAUACCUGAAAAAGCUAGAAAUAGUAUUGACCGCUUUGGGGAGAUGGUGAGAUCUGUUGGAUUGUGCAACAUCGAUUGUUUCAGGCCCACAGCCACUCAUGCAUAAAGAAGAUGGUGGAGCGUAUGCAUAGCUUGUAUUUUUGUCAUUAAUUAUUUCAUUGGUUGCCUUUGCCAAGGUCCGUGCCCUUGCCUUGGAAAGAGCUGCCAGGAGUCAACAAAGAUGAUCCGUUUUUUAUGUCAACUCAAGAGUCAAUAAAUGAACUGAGAAAACUAGCAGAUGGUACUAGUUACCUUUGUUCGUGCACUGAUUUGAGGACUGACAUACAUACUACAACUACAAGUUCUUGUUCUGGUUUUGCCUUUGGCGAUGAGGACAAAGAAGAGGGGCAUGAAAGUCGUUUCUAUUUCAAUCGGUAUAAAGUUGGUUUCUCCAACAAAGCUUGUAUUAACCUGACUUGAGCAAUGUGGAGUGGCCUUCUAUUUCUUUGUUUCUAUGUUUUUCAUUAGGAUAAUGAUGCAAAGUGUUUUGCAUUUUAUUAAUAACUAGUUUUAAAUUUGUGUUUA